AUCAACUUUCGAUGGUAGGAUAGAGGCCUACCAUGGUGGUAACGGGUAACGGGGUGUUAGGGCACGACACCGGAGAGGGAGCCUGAGAAACGGCUACCACAUCCAAGGAUGGCAGCAGGCGCGCAAAUUACCCAAUCCCGACACGGGGAGGUAGUGACAAUAAAUAACAAUACGGGGUUCUUUAGGAUUUCGUAAUUGGAAUGAGUACAAUUUAAAUCUCUUAACGAGGAACAAUUGGAGGGCAAGUCUGGUGCCAGCAGCCGCGGUAAUUCCAGCUCCAAUAGCGUAUAUUAAAGUUGUUGCAGUUAAAAAGCUCGUAGUUGAAUUUCGGGGUCAGUAGGUUGGUCAUGCCACAGGUAUGUACUGGCCUCACUGAUUCCUCCUUCCUGAUGAGCCGUAAUGCCAUUAAUUUGGUGUUGCGAGGAAUCUGGACUGUUACUUUGAAAAAAUUAGAGUGUUUAAAGCAGGCUAACGCUUGAAUACAUUAGCAUGGAAUAAUGAAAUAGGACGUUCGAUCUUAUUUUGUUGGUUUCUAAGAUUGACGUAAUGAUUAAUAGGGAUAGUUGGGGGCAUUAGUAUUCAAUUGUCAGAGGUGAAAUUCUUGGAUUUAUUGAAGACUAACUACUGCGAAAGCAUUUGCCGAGGAUGUUUUCAUUAAUCAAGAACGAAAGUUAGGGGAUCGAAGACGAUCAGAUACCGUCGUAGUCUUAACCAUAAACUAUGCCGACUAGGGAUCGGAUGAUGUUAAUUUUUUAAUGACUCAUUCGGCGCCUUACGGGAAACCAAAGUGUUUGGGUUC
Molecule: ribosomal RNA, 799 nt
Filed under: uncultured Glomus
Lineage: Eukaryota; Fungi; Glomeromycota; Glomeromycetes; Glomerales; Glomeraceae
Description: SSU rRNA
Rfam family: Eukaryotic small subunit ribosomal RNA
Source: RNAcentral